CCUACGGGUGGCAGCAGUAAGGAAUAUUGGUCAAUGGAGGAAACUCUGAACCAGCCAUCCCGCGUGAAGGAUGAAGGGGCUCUGCCUUGUAAACUUCUUUUGUCUGGGGCGAAAAAGCUCGAUUUAUCGAGAACUGACGGUACCAGAAGAAUAAGCACCGGCUAACUCCGUGCCAGCAGCCGCGGUAAUACGGAGGGUGCCAGAGUUAUUGGGAUUAACUGGGGCUAAGGGGUGCGUGGGCGGCUUAGGUGAAAGGCUGUGGCUUAACCAUGGAAUUGCCAUUGAUACUGCAGAGCUUGAAUGAGGUUGAGGUUGGCGGAAUGUGACAUGUAGCGGUGAAAUGCUUAGAUAUGUCAUGGAACACCGAUUGCGAAGGCAGCUGACUGGACCUAUAUUGACGCUGAGGCACGAAAGCGUGGGGAGCGAACAGGAUUAGAUACCCGAGUAGUC
This 450-nucleotide ribosomal RNA is filed under the name uncultured bacterium. RNAcentral describes it as "partial 16S ribosomal RNA". It matches the Rfam family "Bacterial small subunit ribosomal RNA", at positions 338 to 795 of the family's 1533-position model. The record is from RNAcentral.